RNAcentral lists this ribosomal RNA (253 nucleotides) under uncultured bacterium. RNAcentral describes it as "partial 16S ribosomal RNA". It matches the Rfam family "Bacterial small subunit ribosomal RNA", at positions 524 to 776 of the family's 1533-position model. The record is from RNAcentral.
UACAGAGGGUGCGGGCGUUGUCCGGAAUCACUGGGCGUAAAGGGCGCGUAGGCGGCUUGAUAAGCGUGCGGUGAAAGCCCGGGGCUCAACCCCGGGUCGGCCGUGCGAACUGUCGAGCUGGAGCACUGUAGAGGCAGGUGGAAUUCCGGGUGUAGCGGUGGAAUGCGUAGAGAUCCGGAAGAACACCGGUGGCGAAGGCGGCCUGCUGGGCAGUGGCUGACGCUGAGGCGCGACAGCGUGGGGAGCAAACAGG